UUUUUAAUUGAGAUCUUGUAUGAAUGAUUGGACAAGAGAAAUACUGUCUUUAUAUUAAAAAUUGAAUUUAACUUUUAAGUGAAAAGGCUUAAAUAUACUAGAGGGACGAUAAGACCCUAUAAAACUUUACAUUGAUAUUAGAUUUUAUAGAAUUUAAAAUUAUAAUAAUUAAAUUUAAUUUUUUUGUUAUGUUGGGGAGACAAAAGCUAUAAUUAUGUAUAACUGCUUUAAAAGAAAACAAUAAUAAGUGGAAGUAAAAUUAUAGAUCCUUUAUAAAGAUUACGAGAUUAAGUUACUUUAGGGAUAACAGCGUUAUUUUUUUUGAGAGUUCAUAUCGAAAAAAGAGAUUGCGACCUCGAUGUUGAAUUAAAAUAUCUUUAUAAUGCAGGUGUUAUAGAAGAAGGUCUGUUCGACCUUUAAUUUU
Molecule: ribosomal RNA, 424 nt
Filed under: Potamonautes sidneyi
Lineage: Eukaryota; Metazoa; Arthropoda; Malacostraca; Decapoda; Potamonautidae
Description: partial large subunit ribosomal RNA
Rfam family: Bacterial large subunit ribosomal RNA (bases 303-424)
Source: RNAcentral